AUUGAACGCUGGCGGCAGGCCUAACACAUGCAAGUCGAACGGUAACAGGAAGAAGCUUGCUUCUUUGCUGACGAGUGGCGGACGGGUGAGUAAUGUCUGGGAAACUGCCUGAUGGAGGGGGAUAACUACUGGAAACGGUAGCUAAUACCGCAUAACGUCGCAAGACCAAAGAGGGGGACCUUCGGGCCUCUUGCCAUCGGAUGUGCCCAGAUGGGAUUAGCUAGUAGGUGGGGUAACGGCUCACCUAGGCGACGAUCCCUAGCUGGUCUGAGAGGAUGACCAGCCACACUGGAACUGAGACACGGUCCAGACUCCUACGGGAGGCAGCAGUGGUGAAUAUUGCACAAUGGGCGCAAGCCUGAUGCAGCCAUGCCGCGUGUAUGAAGAAGGCCUUCGGGUUGUAAAGUACUUUCAGCGGGGAGGAAGGGAGUAAAGUUAAUACCUUUGCUCAUUGACGUUACCCGCAGAAGAAGCACCGGCUAACUCCGUG
This 490-nucleotide ribosomal RNA is filed under the name uncultured bacterium. Its description in RNAcentral is "partial 16S ribosomal RNA". It matches the Rfam family "Bacterial small subunit ribosomal RNA", at positions 30 to 507 of the family's 1533-position model. The record is from RNAcentral.